Non-coding RNA from Pelobates cultripes (western spadefoot toad), 129 nucleotides. The record is from the annotation of a GenBank genome assembly. NCBI's taxonomy places the organism in Eukaryota, Metazoa, Chordata, Amphibia, Anura, Pelobatidae.
CACACACACAAAGCAGCGUAUGUAUGUGUGUGUAUAUAUAUAUAUAUAUGUGUGUGUGUAUGUGUAUAUAUAUAUAUAUACAUAUAUAUAUAUAUAUACACACAUACAUAUACACGCGGCGUGUGUUUG